GUAUUAUAUCCCUUACAGACCUAAAGACUUUGACUCUGAGAGAGGGUUGAGUCUCGGUGGAGAGGGCAGUGCUUUUGAACAGCAGGCCUCUUCAGCUGUCCUUGAUCUCAUGGGAGAUGAAGGCGAUCGCCUUAACCAGCAGAAGAAAAUGAUGAAAUGGGACCGUAAGAGGAAGCGUUUUGUGAGAGAAACGGGAAAAGAAGACCAGAAGAAGAAGAUCAAAACAGACAGCGGUCAGGUUAUCAGUAACAAGAAGAACAGGAAGAAC
Non-coding RNA from Maylandia zebra (zebra mbuna), 268 nucleotides. NCBI's taxonomy places the organism in Eukaryota, Metazoa, Chordata, Actinopteri, Cichliformes, Cichlidae. The record is from RefSeq and is a predicted model, not a curated record.